Ameiurus melas (black bullhead) is the source of this 93-nucleotide non-coding RNA. NCBI's taxonomy places the organism in Eukaryota, Metazoa, Chordata, Actinopteri, Siluriformes, Ictaluridae. The record is from the annotation of a GenBank genome assembly.
GUACAAGUGGCGCAAUCGGUCAGCGCACUGUACUUACACUGCAGUAUGAGUGAAGCAAUGCUGAGGUUGUGCGUUCAAGCCUCACUUGGAGCA